AAUAUUUCACAAUGGAGGAAACUCUGAUGCAGCGACGCCGCGUGAGCGAUGAAGGUUUUCGGAUCGUAAAGCUCUGUCCUAGGGGACGAUAAUGACGGUACCCUAGGAGGAAGCCCCGGCUAACAACUUGCCAGAAGCCGCGGUAAUACGUAGGGGGCGAGCGUUGUCCGGAUUUAUUGGGCGUAAAGGGUACGCAGGCGGCCAUGUAAGUCAGAUGUGAAAGAUCACGGCUCAACCGUGGUAAGCAUUUGAAACUGCUUGGCUUGAGUUAAGGAGAGGAAAGUGGAAUUCCUGGUGUAGCGGUGAAAUGCGUAGAUAUCAGGAGGAAUAUCAGUGGCGAAGGCGACUUUCUAGACUUAUACUGACGCUGAGGUACGAAAGCGCGGGGAGCAAACAG
Molecule: ribosomal RNA, 397 nt
Filed under: uncultured bacterium
Lineage: Bacteria
Description: partial 16S ribosomal RNA
Rfam family: Bacterial small subunit ribosomal RNA
Source: RNAcentral